GACGAACGCUGGCGGCGUGCUUAACACAUGCAAGUCGAACGCUGAAGCUCAGCUUGCUGGGUGGAUGAGUGGCGAACGGGUGAGUAACACGUGAGUAACCUGCCCUCUUCUUUGGGAUAACGCCCGGAAACGGGUGCUAAUACUGGAUAUUCACUGAUUCUCGCAUGGGGGUUGGUGGAAAGGUUUUUUCUGGUGGGGGAUGGGCUCGCGGCCUAUCAGCUUGUUGGUGGGGUGAUGGCCUACCAAGGCUUUGACGGGUAGCCGGCCUGAGAGGGUGACCGGUCACAUUGGGACUGAGAUACGGCCCAGACUCCUACGGCAGGUAGCAGUGGGGAAUAUUGCACAAUGGGCGAAAGCCUGAUGCAGCGACGCCGCGUGAGGGAUGGAGGCCUUCGGGUUGUAAACCUCUUUCGCUCAUGGUCAAGCCGCAGCUUUGGGUUGUGGUGAGGGUAGUGGGUAAAGAAGCGCCGGCUAACUACGUG
RNAcentral lists this ribosomal RNA (482 nucleotides) under uncultured bacterium. RNAcentral describes it as "partial 16S ribosomal RNA". It matches the Rfam family "Bacterial small subunit ribosomal RNA", at positions 28 to 507 of the family's 1533-position model. The record is from RNAcentral.